Long non-coding RNA from Alexandromys fortis (reed vole), 3210 nucleotides. RefSeq lists it as uncharacterized. NCBI's taxonomy places the organism in Eukaryota, Metazoa, Chordata, Mammalia, Rodentia, Cricetidae. The record is from RefSeq and is a predicted model, not a curated record. The transcript has 3 exons.
UAAACUUUGGCUGCUCACACUUCCUCCAUACAAGGCCUUCCUUCUGGCCGUCACCAGGGCUCAGAGCUACAGGCAGUCUGGAGCUGUUUGCUCAUGAAGGUAUGAACAGGGUUGUGAGCUUCUAGGUGAUUCUGUCUUUGCUGCUAUCUCACAGUAGGCGUUCUGGGCUAACAAAUGUGAGCUACCCGGAGCCUUUUACCUGUAUUCCUGGGAUCAAACUCAGCUCAUCCGGCUCGCUUAGCAAGCCCUUUAACAAGUUGAGCCAUCUCCCCAGCCCCAGGAUACCUUUUAAAAGCAACUUCUGGAGCCUUUUGUUCUUUUUCUCUUAAAGAGAAGCUGCAUGUAACAUAACUUUUUAAAAAAGAAGAGGAACGCUCUAAAUAUAGAAGACCUAACCCAUGGUGCAGCUGCCGAGGCAUAGCAACAGUGGAUGACUUUUUUUUUUUUUAAUUGCAUCCCGAGGAAAAAUACGUGGUUCUAAAUAUCCCAGGAAGUUAUCACGGAAAACUCUGAAUAUGCCUAAAAUGCUCAGUGCUGGGUGACAGCAGAGGAAAGGGCCGACACUGCCCCCUCCCCACAACCCAGCCUCAGCCAGCUGCGGUAACAAAAUGCCCAAUGGACAGCAAACAUUCCAGAGAAUCUUUGCAGAGUGAAAGAACAAAUCUAUGAUCAGACUGGCCCCACAAUGGUACUCUGCAAAAAUGCUCAGAAGAAGAAUGGUUUGUCCUGAGACGUGGAUGACAAAAAACAGAGGGGCCUUCUAUCACCUACAGAGAGUCUCGGGUUUCAAAUGUAAACCGUCACCAUAAUUAUGGCACGGGGAGAAAGGAUUUCUCUGUGUAGCUCUGACUGUUCUAGAACUCUCUCUGUAGACCAGACUGGCCUCAAACUCACAGAAACCAGCCUGGCUUUGCCUUCCGAGUGCUGGGAUUAAAGUCAUGCACUACCACGGCCCAGGUGAGAAGCACUGUUUUGUUUUUAAGAUAUAUGUAGUUUAUGUAUCUGAAUUCUCUUUCUGCAUGUGUGCCUUUAUGCCAGAAGGAGGCAUCAGAUCCCAUUAUAGAUGGUUGUGAGCCACCAUGUGGUUGCUAGGAAUUAAACUCAGGACCUCUAGAAGAGCAGCCAGUGCUUUUAACUGAUGAGCUACCUCUCCAGACCCAGAAGCAAGUGUUCUUAACCACUGAGCCGUAUCUUCAGCCCACUCAAAUAAUUUCUUAAGGUCAGGAAUGUAUGAGCUGAGAUGGUUCGGUUCUGGGGCCCUCCUGACAUUGGAGGUGAGAUGUCUUUGCUAAUCUAAGGUUUAAUGGGGCUUCUCUGAAGCCUGAGCCUGGAGGAUCUGCCUCCAAGCUCAUACAUGAACAUGGGUGUCUUGGUUAGGGAUAUUUUUUUUUAAUUGCUGUGAAUAGGCACCAUGACCAUGGCAACUCUUACAGAGAAAACAUUUAAUUGAGGUGGUGGCUCACAGUUUCAGAGGUUCAGUCUAUUAUCAUCAUGACAGGGAGCAUGCACAGCGUGCAGGCAGAGGUGGUGCUGGCUACAUCUUAACCAGAGGGUAGCAGGAAGUAGCCUUGAAUGAAGCUUGAGAAAAAAAUGAGACCUCAAAGCCCACCCUCACAGUGACACACUUCCUCCAACAAGAACAUCCCUACUCCAACAAGGCCAUAUCUCCUAAUCAUGUCACUUCCUUUGGGGGCCAUUUUCUUUCAAACCACCACAACAGGCAAGAAGACUUCAUACCUCAUCUUAUGAAGAUCUCCAUGGACUACACAGUCACAGCAGUGGGCUUCACCCAGAGUUGGUAACCCAAGAGAGACAGUGAAAUGCCUUUUCAAGUCUACUUCCAUGGAUGGUCUUCUUCCAUUCCGCCUGAUGUUAUUGGUGUACAGACCUACCCCAGGCCAGUACAGGAGGAGUGUAUCCACGGAUGUGAAUACUCGGGAAGGUACAGUUGGCCAUACAGAUAUGAUCAUACACAUCUCUCUUCCCCCACGCAAUCUCUAGCCAAAUGUGUAGCCCUAUGUUCAGCAUCCAGGAUGCAGAUGGACUCUGAGAGAUUGAAUAAAGUUCAUCCAUGGCCAGUUUUCCGCCAUUCUUGUGUAUGAACAGUUCUGAGGCCCUUGUAGUUGGAUGGCCUGUGGCUACUUCUGGGCAGUCGAAGAGAUCCAUGUCGGUGUUACACAAAAGGAACAAAAGGCAUGGUCCUGGUGUUCCAGUCUCUUUCCUAAAGUAGCAUCCUGGGAACCCUGACUGGUCAACAAUGCUCCAGCAGGUGCAGCUGUGUGAAUGAGCACUGUCAUUGAGCUCUUGACCCAGAGCCAAGGCCAUGUGGACCAGUUCGUUCCUGCAGGAGAGAAGCAGCCGGUAUGCAAAGUCGUGAACUCUGCAGGAGCCAUCACUAUAGCUCACUGGAGCCAUCCUGAACAUCAUUUUUCUAAGAAUAGCCUGGGCUAGUGUUGGGGACUGCAGACCCCUCAGACCCUGAAUUUUCUGUGACCCCUUGCCUGCCGGAGUAAACAACUUAUUUUUUUGUGCUUGCAACUGCUCUGAGCACGAGACCCUCAUGAGUUCCUAAUGGCAGGGGAGUGGUUUUUGGUGGACUUGCAGCUGAAAAGUUCAGAGAGCUAGGGUGUGACCAUUAGUCAAGGAGAGCCUUUAUAAAAUGCCCUCAAACACAAUAAAAGGGCAUUCUUGUUUCAAGGAUGACCCGUGUCUAUGUGUGUGUGUGUGUGUGUAUGUGUAUUUCGAUCUCUAGCCCCUCGCCCCACUCACAAACUGUCCGUGGUGUAUAGGCGGAAUGGUACAGGCUAGCCCCAAGUUGCAGAUGCAGAAGAGGAGACAUUCGAAGGUGAAAAGACUAGCCCAAGACUCUGGAACAAGUAAAUAGCAAACCAAAUUUUGAAUGUGAGUUCUUUGUCUAGUGGUUCAGGAAGGUGUACGGAAUUGUGGUAAAUGCCACAAAGACGGGAACCAUUGAGUUUAACCUGGCAUUUAGUGAGCAAACCAACAGAACUCCUUGAGUCUUGGUUUUCUCAGUUUGCUAUGCUUUGAGCUCACACCCAACAAGUUCAUGUGUCAGGAGCCCAGUCCUUAGUAUGGUCAUGUUUAAAGGUAACAUCGAAAGAAAGUAUCUGUCUGGAUUCCUGUCUGGCAGUGUGAUGUCUUUUUUCUGCUAUGGUAGGGCAUUGUCUGUCCCACAUCCUCAGUCAUAAC